RNAcentral lists this ribosomal RNA (469 nucleotides) under Wolbachia pipientis. RNAcentral describes it as "bacterial SSU rRNA". It matches the Rfam family "Bacterial small subunit ribosomal RNA", at positions 10 to 509 of the family's 1533-position model. Lineage: Bacteria; Pseudomonadati; Pseudomonadota; Alphaproteobacteria; Rickettsiales; Anaplasmataceae. The record is from RNAcentral.
AGUUUGAUCAUGGCUCAAAUGAACGCUGGCGGCAGGCCUAACACAUGCAAGUCGAACGGAGUUAUAUUGUAGCUUGCUAUGGUAUAACUUAGUGGCAGACGGGUGAGUAAUGUAUAGGAAUCUACCUAGUAGUACGGAAUAAUUGUUGGAAACGGCAACUAAUACCGUAUACGCCCUACGGGGGAAAAAUUUAUUGCUAUUAGAUGAGUCUAUAUUAGAUUAGCUAGUUGGUGGAGUAAUAGCCUACCAAGGCAAUGAUCUAUAGCUGAUCUGAGAGGAUGAUCAGCCACACUGGAACUGAGAUACGGUCCAGACUCCUACGGGAGGCAGCAGUGGGGAAUAUUGGACAAUGGGCGAAAGCCUGAUCCAGCCAUGCCCCAUGAGCGAAGAAGGCCUUUGGGUCGUAGAGAACUUUUAGGAGGAAGACAAUGACCGUACUUACGUAAGAAACCCUGGCUGACUCCGUGCC